Pelobates cultripes (western spadefoot toad) is the source of this 303-nucleotide non-coding RNA. NCBI's taxonomy places the organism in Eukaryota, Metazoa, Chordata, Amphibia, Anura, Pelobatidae. The record is from the annotation of a GenBank genome assembly.
GUAGUGGAUGCAUGGAAUAGCCUUCCAGCUGAAGUGGUAGAGGUUAACACAGUAAAGGAGUUUAAGCAUGCGUGGGAUAGGCAUAAGGUUAUCCUAGCUAUAAGAUAAGACUAGGGACUAAUGAAAGUAUUUAGAAAAUUGGGCAGACUAGAUGGGCCGAAUGGUUCUUAUCUGCCGUCACAUUCUAUGUUUCUAUGUUUUACUCUAUGCCUGAACGAAUUGAUCCAUCCAGGGUAUGUAGGUGGGAUCUUAUUCUUUGUACAAGUCUAGGAGAAGGUAGCAAAUGUUGAUCUAAAAACAAAC